ACACGACUACAUUAGAUACCCGGGUAGUCCCAGCCCUAAACGAUACUCGCUAGGUGUCGGCCACGGUGCGACCGUUGUCGGUGCUGUAGGGAAGCCGUGAAGCGAGCCACCUGGGAAGUACGGCCGCAAGGCUGAAACUUAAAGGAAUUGGCGGGGGAGCACCACAACGGGUGGAGCUUGCGGUUUAAUUGGAUUCAACGCCGGAAAUCUUACCGGGACCGACAGCAACAUGAAGGCCAGGCUGAAGACUUUGCCGGAUUAGCUG
RNAcentral lists this ribosomal RNA (265 nucleotides) under uncultured archaeon. Its description in RNAcentral is "partial 16S ribosomal RNA". It matches the Rfam family "Archaeal small subunit ribosomal RNA", at positions 717 to 982 of the family's 1478-position model. The record is from RNAcentral.